UUUAGUUAAACCUGGAUGAAUUGUAUAUCUAGAAUCAUAAAGCCUCAGCUAAGAUUCUUUCUCACAGCCUAACAAAAUUAGGAACACACAACCUUCCUUAAUACCUUAAUUAAGAUAUCAUUUCUCCCAAUAUCGAAAGACAUAACCUUUUACUAACCCACAUUAUCCUAAUUUGUAUAACUAUGGGGUCCAUAACCUGUUUCUCC
Molecule: long non-coding RNA, 206 nt
Filed under: Capsicum annuum
Lineage: Eukaryota; Viridiplantae; Streptophyta; Magnoliopsida; Solanales; Solanaceae
Description: long non-coding RNA (CANN_LNC018742)
Source: RNAcentral